This 421-nucleotide ribosomal RNA is filed under the name uncultured bacterium. Its description in RNAcentral is "partial 16S ribosomal RNA". It matches the Rfam family "Bacterial small subunit ribosomal RNA", at positions 361 to 774 of the family's 1533-position model. The record is from RNAcentral.
AUGUUGGACAAUGGGGGAAACCAUUAUCCAGCCACCUCGCGUGCAUGAUUAACGCCUUCGGGUUGUAACAUACUUUUGGCAGAGAAGUAAAGGUAUCUCCUAAUACGAGAUACUGCUGACGGUAUCUGCAGACUAAGCACGGGCUAACUACGUACGAGCAGCCGCGGUAAUACGUAGGGUGCAAGCGUUAAUCGGAAUUACUGGGCGUAAAGCGUGUGUAGGCGGUGCAGAAAGAAAGAUGUGAAAUCCCAGGGCGCAACCUUAGAACUGCAUUUUUAACUGCCGAGCUAGAGUAUGUCAGAGGGGGGUAGAAUUCCACGUGUAGCAGUGAAAUGCGUAGAUAUGUGGAGGAAUACCGAUGGCGAAGGUAGCCCCCUGAGAUAAUACUGACGCUCAAGCACGAAAGCGUGGGGAGCAAACA